RNAcentral lists this ribosomal RNA (702 nucleotides) under Triticum aestivum (bread wheat). RNAcentral's name for it is "partial small subunit ribosomal RNA". The record is from RNAcentral. Lineage: Eukaryota; Viridiplantae; Streptophyta; Magnoliopsida; Poales; Poaceae.
AUGGAUCAGCAGGAGGAGGAAGCGUCCGUCUCCGUCAGCAGCGUCCCGCCGGAGGAGGAGGAGGAGCAGGAUGAAGAAGAAGAAGAGCAAGAAGAAGAGGAGGAGGACAUGGGUGCGGUGAAGAUGGCGCUGGGCCCUCAGGUUCCCCUCAAGGACCUCCUACACCUCCACCUCCACAAGGAGGAGGAGGGGGAGGAGGACGACAGCCUCCGCAGAUGGAAGGAGCAGCUCCUCGGACCAGAUGCUGUCCACACCACCAACCUCCUCCUUGCCCUUGGAGCUGAGACCGUCGAACCAGAGGUGGCCAUACUCAACCUCACCAUCUUGGCACCAGGGAGGCCUGACCUGGUUUUGCCGAUUCCGUUUGUGCCUGAUGACAAGGGCCACGCCUUCAUGCUCAAGGACGGCACCGCCUACAGCUUCCGCUUCUCCUUCACCGUCUCCAACAACAUCGUGUCCGGUCUCAACUACUCGCACACCGUCUGGAAGACCGGAGUAAAAGUGGAGAACCAGAAGGUGAUGCUGGGGACAUUCAGCCCUCAGCAGGAGCCCUACACAUACAAGGCUGAAGAAGAUAGCACCCCGAGCGGCAUCUUUGCGAGGGGCUCCUAUUCUGCUAGAUUAAAGUUUGUCGACGAUGAUGGGAAGGUGUACCUAGACAUGAGGUACAGCUUUGAGAUCAGGAAGGACUGGCCUGCCUAA